AGUUUUUGUCUUAGCCUCGUUGCCCUCCGUGGUUGGGUUGGGAAUUAAGUUAAGUUAUGGUUAGGAGUCACUUAAUAUGACUUUUUAAGGUAAUAUUGGGAUUAAUUUGGUGAAGAAAACAACAAAUCAAUGUGGAAACUGUCUUCAACACAACAGGCAGACAGACAGACAGUGCUCGGGGUGAGAGCUGCGCCUGCACUGAAGUGUCCCAUUGAGUUUCCUGAAGUGGACUUAUCUCCUACCAUCCCAUCUCGCAUCGCACUCUUUCCUGGAUCCAGACAGGGCUGAGCGCCACACUCAUCCAGCCCUCCUCACACCCAAGAGGCCGCUCUCUUCUGGGCUCAGUCCCACACUCAACCACACAUCCUCCUUACAGUUGGCAGAGAUGGCUGCAUGAUACUCAAGAUCACGUCUUGGAGAACAAAGGAGCGUGGACACAAGGAUGCAUAAAGUAAGUUUUCUAUUCCAGGCAAUUUAGACACACACAUACAUUUGGCCAAGACACACAAACAACAUUGACACUGAAGAUGUGCA
Sebastes umbrosus (honeycomb rockfish) is the source of this 534-nucleotide long non-coding RNA. RefSeq lists it as uncharacterized. The transcript is spliced from 3 exons. The record is from RefSeq and is a predicted model, not a curated record. NCBI's taxonomy places the organism in Eukaryota, Metazoa, Chordata, Actinopteri, Perciformes, Sebastidae.